GCUAGCAUAAAUUAAUAGAUCUCUGGUGAGUAUUCCCGCCUGUCACGCGGGUGACCCGGGUUCGAUCCCCGGUAACG
Non-coding RNA from Stylosanthes scabra, 77 nucleotides. NCBI's taxonomy places the organism in Eukaryota, Viridiplantae, Streptophyta, Magnoliopsida, Fabales, Fabaceae. The record is from the annotation of a GenBank genome assembly.